UUGUAAAGGAGGGGAAGCCUGGUGAAGUUGAUUGAAAAGCACAGUACAUGUCAAUGUAGUUCAAUCUAAACAGAUACGGUCACCGCCAUGACAUUGCGACACAGCGGGCAUAACUGUGGAAUAACAAUGUGUAACGUUAAGUAAAUUGUGAGACUUUCUCAAACAAACAAAAAAAAGAGUUAUUUCAACAUCAUUUAUUUUAAACAACCGGGAGAGUUGCGUAAGUUAACGUUAGCUAGCUAGUUUUCCACUGUUGCUAGCGUUAAUGCUAACAGCUAAAGUAACGUUAGUUCUGUUAGACUAAAUAGCUAACUAGCUAGCAAGAAGAAGAAAUGAAAAAAGAGGACGGUCAGCAACAAGUACAAUGGGACAUUUUAUGGCAUGGAUAUGGACCAGUUCACCCCCAUGAAGUAAAGGAAGAUGGGCUUCGACAACAAAUAAAUCAUUUGAGACCAGCCAAAGACAACCCGUCUGGAUUCAUAGUUUCACGCAGAGCACCCUGCAGAGGCCCGACUUACUGGACAGCCUCUCUGACAGCAGGGGGUGGCGGAUUUUCCACGAAAUAGAAGUCAUUUCCUCCAUUUUCUUCCAGCAACAAAAGACGCAAAUGCAUACACACUUUCAAAUGAUGUGUUGUCAUCACUUCAGCAAAAGGUCAGACGUGGGUGUUACUUCAUCUGUGGUAACUUGUUGAGGAGGUUGAAAUCGAUGCCAAUAAGUCACAUUCAUGGCAGUAACAGCUGGCAGGCAGCACACUGUCACAGACUGUGUUCCAGGAGAUUUAAAGGGAGAUUAAAGUU
Molecule: long non-coding RNA, 800 nt
Organism: Perca flavescens (yellow perch)
Lineage: Eukaryota; Metazoa; Chordata; Actinopteri; Perciformes; Percidae
Exons: 5
Source: RefSeq, a predicted model, not a curated record